Molecule: ribosomal RNA, 2645 nt
Filed under: Escherichia coli
Lineage: Bacteria; Pseudomonadati; Pseudomonadota; Gammaproteobacteria; Enterobacterales; Enterobacteriaceae
Description: partial 23S ribosomal RNA
Rfam family: Bacterial large subunit ribosomal RNA
Source: RNAcentral
GGUUAAGCGACUAAGCGUACACGGUGGAUGCCCUGGCAGUCAGAGGCGAUGAAGGACGUGCUAAUCUGCGAUAAGCGUCGGUAAGGUGAUAUGAACCGUUAUAACCGGCGAUUUCCGAAUGGGGAAACCCAGUGUGAUUCGUCACACUAUCAUUAACUGAAUCCAUAGGUUAAUGAGGCGAACCGGGGGAACUGAAACAUCUAAGUACCCCGAGGAAAAGAAAUCAACCGAGAUUCCCCCAGUAGCGGCGAGCGAACGGGGAGCAGCCCAGAGCCUGAAUCAGUGUGUGUGUUAGUGGAAGCGUCUGGAAAGGCGCGCGAUACAGGGUGACAGCCCCGUACACAAAAAUGCACAUAUUGUGAGCUCGAUGAGUAGGGCGGGACACGUGGUAUCCUGUCUGAAUAUGGGGGGCCCAUCCUCCAAGGCUAAAUACUCCUGACUGACCGAUAGUGAACCAGUACCGUGAGGGAAAGGCGAAAAGAACCCCGGCGAGGGGAGUGAAAAAGAACCUGAAACCGUGUACGUACAAGCAGUGGGAGCACGCUUAGGCGUGUGACUGCGUACCUUUUGUAUAAUGGGUCAGCGACUUAUAUUCUGUAGCAAGGUUAACCGAAUAGGGGAGCCGAAGGGAAACCGAGUCUUAACUGGGCGUUAAGUUGCAGGGUAUAGACCCGAAACCCGGUGAUCUAGCCAUGGGCAGGUUGAAGGUUGGGUAACACUAACUGGAGGACCGAACCGACUAAUGUUGAAAAAUUAGCGGAUGACUUGUGGCUGGGGGUGAAAGGCCAAUCAAACCGGGAGAUAGCUGGUUCUCCCCGAAAGCUAUUUAGGUAGCGCCUCGUGAAUUCAUCUCCGGGGGUAGAGCACUGUUUCGGCAAGGGGGUCAUCCCGACUUACCAACCCGAUGCAAACUGCGAAUACCGGAGAAUGUUAUCACGGGAGACACACGGCGGGUGCUAACGUCCGUCGUGAAGAGGGAAACAACCCAGACCGCCAGCUAAGGUCCCAAAGUCAUGGUUAAGUGGGAAACGAUGUGGGAAGGCCCAGACAGCCAGGAUGUUGGCUUAGAAGCAGCCAUCAUUUAAAGAAAGCGUAAUAGCUCACUGGUCGAGUCGGCCUGCGCGGAAGAUGUAACGGGGCUAAACCAUGCACCGAAGCUGCGGCAGCGACGCUUAUGCGUUGUUGGGUAGGGGAGCGUUCUGUAAGCCUGCGAAGGUGUGCUGUGAGGCAUGCUGGAGGUAUCAGAAGUGCGAAUGCUGACAUAAGUAACGAUAAAGCGGGUGAAAAGCCCGCUCGCCGGAAGACCAAGGGUUCCUGUCCAACGUUAAUCGGGGCAGGGUGAGUCGACCCCUAAGGCGAGGCCGAAAGGCGUAGUCGAUGGGAAACAGGUUAAUAUUCCUGUACUUGGUGUUACUGCGAAGGGGGGACGGAGAAGGCUAUGUUGGCCGGGCGACGGUUGUCCCGGUUUAAGCGUGUAGGCUGGUUUUCCAGGCAAAUCCGGAAAAUCAAGGCUGAGGCGUGAUGACGAGGCACUACGGUGCUGAAGCAACAAAUGCCCUGCUUCCAGGAAAAGCCUCUAAGCAUCAGGUAACAUCAAAUCGUACCCCAAACCGACACAGGUGGUCAGGUAGAGAAUACCAAGGCGCUUGAGAGAACUCGGGUGAAGGAACUAGGCAAAAUGGUGCCGUAACUUCGGGAGAAGGCACGCUGAUAUGUAGGUGAAGUCCCUUGCGGAUGGAGCUGAAAUCAGUCGAAGAUACCAGCUGGCUGCAACUGUUUAUUAAAAACACAGCACUGUGCAAACACGAAAGUGGACGUAUACGGUGUGACGCCUGCCCGGUGCCGGAAGGUUAAUUGAUGGGGUCAGCGCAAGCGAAGCUCUUGAUCGAAGCCCCGGUAAACGGCGGCCGUAACUAUAACGGUCCUAAGGUAGCGAAAUUCCUUGUCGGGUAAGUUCCGACCUGCACGAAUGGCGUAAUGAUGGCCAGGCUGUCUCCACCCGAGACUCAGUGAAAUUGAACUCGCUGUGAAGAUGCAGUGUACCCGCGGCAAGACGGAAAGACCCCGUGAACCUUUACUAUAGCUUGACACUGAACAUUGAGCCUUGAUGUGUAGGAUAGGUGGGAGGCUUUGAAGUGUGGACGCCAGUCUGCAUGGAGCCGGCCUUGAAAUACCACCCUUUAAUGUUUGAUGUUCUAACGUGGACCCGUGAUCCGGGUUGCGGACAGUGUCUGGUGGGUAGUUUGACUGGGGCGGUCUCCUCCUAAAGAGUAACGGAGGAGCACGAAGGUUGGCUAAUCCUGGUCGGACAUCAGGAGGUUAGUGCAAUGGCAUAAGCCAGCUUGACUGCGAGCGUGACGGCGCGAGCAGGUGCGAAAGCAGGUCAUAGUGAUCCGGUGGUUCUGAAUGGAAGGGCCAUCGCUCAACGGAUAAAAGGUACUCCGGGGAUAACAGGCUGAUACCGCCCAAGAGUUCAUAUCGACGGCGGUGUUUGGCACCUCGAUGUCGGCUCAUCACAUCCUGGGGCUGAAGUAGGUCCCAAGGGUAUGGCUGUUCGCCAUUUAAAGUGGUACGCGAGCUGGGUUUAGAACGUCGUGAGACAGUUCGGUCCCUAUCUGCCGUGGGCGCUGGAGAACUGAGGGGGG